GAGACUGAGAGUUGGUGCUGGUGGUU
This 26-nucleotide non-coding RNA is filed under the name Homo sapiens (human). Lineage: Eukaryota; Metazoa; Chordata; Mammalia; Primates; Hominidae. The record is from RNAcentral.